RNAcentral lists this long non-coding RNA (516 nucleotides) under Taeniopygia guttata (zebra finch). RNAcentral describes it as "lncRNA (ENSTGUG00000022301.1)". Lineage: Eukaryota; Metazoa; Chordata; Aves; Passeriformes; Estrildidae. The record is from RNAcentral.
GGGGACCAGUAAAUGUAAUUGAAGGAAUGUUCUUGCCUGCAUAACUCACCUUGCAAAUCUUUCACAAAAACCAGCAGAAAGUAUUUUUGGUUCUUCUUAUUGAACUGUGCCUACAUGAGUUCAUGAGGGAUCAAUUCACCAUCUCCCACAACCCAGAUCUAACAGAGAAAAUUAGAGGGCAACAUGACACGCUUCAACUCACAUGAACCUUCUAAAAGCUCACUGCAAGAUGUGGAGGGAGAACCUGUGAACAGCUUUGGGCUCCAGAGCCAGGAGGUCUAUUUCCAUCCUAGCUGCAGCUCUUUGCAGAAGCAGCAACAGCAAACUCCUGUCAGCAGUGGUUCUUCUGAGUGGGACAGUCCAAGGACAUCUUUACCAAACUCAGGGAAUACCACAAGUUCCUACCAAGAAAUAGAUAACAGAAGAUUGAGGUAAAACUUUUUUUUUAUGACAGAUGAUUUUAAAACUUAGCAAUAAUAAUACUUAUGACUAAUUUUGUACAGAUGAGGAAGGGCU